This 134-nucleotide small RNA is filed under the name Marmota monax (woodchuck). The record is from RNAcentral. Lineage: Eukaryota; Metazoa; Chordata; Mammalia; Rodentia; Sciuridae.
GCUGUGUGUAGUGGUGCACACCUGUAAUCCCAGCUGCUUGGGAGGCUGAGGCAGGAGGAUUGCAAACUCAAGGCUAGCAAGACUAACCUCAGCUGCUUAGCAAGACUCAGCUGCUUAGCAAGACUCUGUCUCAA